AUUUUGACAGGAAAAUACAACAAAGAAUACAAUUUACAUGUAGCGUGUCAAUUCUGCAUGGUGUGUAAGACUCUCGCUCU
Long non-coding RNA from Sinocyclocheilus anshuiensis, 80 nucleotides. RefSeq lists it as uncharacterized. The record is from RefSeq and is a predicted model, not a curated record. The transcript has 3 exons. NCBI's taxonomy places the organism in Eukaryota, Metazoa, Chordata, Actinopteri, Cypriniformes, Cyprinidae.